Long non-coding RNA from Papaver somniferum (opium poppy), 1656 nucleotides. RefSeq lists it as uncharacterized. The record is from RefSeq and is a predicted model, not a curated record. The transcript is spliced from 8 exons. NCBI's taxonomy places the organism in Eukaryota, Viridiplantae, Streptophyta, Magnoliopsida, Ranunculales, Papaveraceae.
AACAAGCUAUCAUGGAAGACGUUUCUAUAGUCCCAGUUUCCCAGAUUUGGUUCCUUACCUCAGUCUUCCUUUACUUCUCUCUCAGAUAUCUUACAACAUCUGAGUUUUUACUCCAAAACGAAUGAAAAUCUAAAUUGUAGACUCUCUUCAUCUUCUCUCCUACUCAGAUUCAUCAUUGAAACCCUAAGUUUUUUACAUCAUAACUAACCUGAAAUCAUUUGUUACUCCAUGAAAACUCUGUCACUAUGUACAUCGAUGGAAGAUUUUAAUCUGCCAACUCCAAUUGCAAACUGAAAAUACUGUUGGUAAUGAAAGAGCAGAUCAAGUGAGAUUCAAUCAGAUGUUCUAUGAACUUUUAGAUCUAAAUCAAAGGUUUUUUGGGUUUAAUGAUUAAGCUACAGAACCAGAUGGUGAAGGAGGAGUAAUUAGUAGUCUUAGAGAUCGAAAUCUAAGAGGUUAAAGGAUAUCUUAUCUAUCUGUAAGGAGAAUUCUAAGAAGUACAGUUUGGAUGGUGGUGAAACGGAUUGGAUGAACAGAUUCAACAACUUCAUGAGAAACAAAUUUUAAGGGCUUAUGACUGAAGAGUUGAGAAAUUUUUUGGAGUUUUACCUAAGUUUAGUUACUAAGCCGAAGAUUAAUUGGGUCAGAUAUCUUUGAAGAAACUAAGAUUCCCCGCCAAAGCAAUGAACUUAUUUUUGUACCUCUCUGCGGUGUCUGCUUCUGAAUUUGAUGUCAUGUUUCCAGUUAAUCUAGUGACACUGGGUAGCUAAAAUGUCCCGGUUAAUCUAUUUGAUGGUUCGCCUUAUUUAAAAAAUCCAAUUUUAAGCCUGUUAGGAUUAUAAUAUCCUGCGCACUUGCAUCUGGAAAAGGAGCACAAUGCAAACUCAGAAAGCAAAUAUGAAGUUGCUCAAGCACUAAUAACGCCAUUGUUCGACAUUUGUUAAGAACGCUCACUAGCUUUGGUGUGAUUCCGAUGAUGACGGGGAUAAGCUAUAACAUUAACUAGUUGGCAUCUAAUGGUUGCAUUUUGCACACUUCAUGGGGCACAAAGAUUCAGUGUUUUUGAGACCAAGGCAAUUGAUACCCAAACUGUAAUGCUAUUGGGUAUCAUAAAUGGCGUGUCUACUGGACUUCUCAAUUUAUGUCUUGGGUUCAAUUCCACUGGAUUCUACCACGUUAACUAUUUUGAUUUCAUCUUAUGGUCAUUUUUAAGAGAAUUAAGGAUCUGAUUAGUUUAGUUUGGUUGUAGUAGCGAAAGUUUAAUCCGGAUGAAAUGAUUUUUCUGUACAGACGACAAACAUGCAAUAUACCCUUUACAGUACUGUCGGGGACCCUGUUCCUUAACAAGGUAUGCGAUUCUGAGUUGCGCAGCUCAGUUCUUCAUCAGAUAGUUUAUCAUUUUGUUAGUUUGUACUUAUCUUUUAAGAAAACUUAGAACUUGUAUUGGUGCUCAUUUUGUUAGUUUGUACUUAUCUUUAAGAAAAUUUAGAACUUGUAUUGGUGCUGAUUCAGGUUUUGUUUACAAUUUUUGGUUAUUCUGAAUCCACGCUAUAAUCAGUGUGUUAUUCAUUCGUAUAAUGAAUUGUAAGCUUAAUUGAAUGGGAAUGAUUUACUUAAGAAUUCAGGUUGUAUUUGAAUGUAAAUUGAACUUUAGUU